GACUUUUCAGCUCCUGACCGGGCCUAUCAGCAGCCUCCUAAUUCGAUCACUGCUCACUCCAGGAAACAGUCACCAGGAAGGAGGUCCGGCGCAGGCGGGAAGCAGCGGCCGCGCAGUGCCCUGGUGCUGUGAACUUCCCCUGGCUCGCCAGAGCCCUGCAAAAAUAAAUCUCCGGAGAAAUAGAUUUUGAAGAGGAAUUCGGCACAUAGAUCUUCUGUCAGCGGAGCAGACUCUGCCUCAGCCGUUUUUCAGGCUCGCUGAGUAUCCAGAAAUACAUCUAUUUUUACAUGGCUCUCUAGCGAGAGUUCCUCUUGCCUGGAGGGGUAAGAGGCCGUGGAAGGAGUCAGAGGAUGGGAGAGGAGAGGGGUGCGGGCACUGACUGGAGAAGGACAGGGAGGUGACCGUGCAGUGCUGGUCUUCCCGGUUUUCCUGCAUCCUGCAGGACCUUGGGUUUGCCAACCAAGUUUGGGUUUGCCUCGUCGCUAUGAAGGCUCUGUGUGUCCCUUGGCCCACCGGACCCAUCUUAGUAACAGGCCUGAUGUCCCCGGAGAAGACAAUACACUACGGCAGUUUGGCGCGCGCGCGCACAAAGAGCUGCAGCACCGCCCGGGGCUCACUGUUUUGUUCUCGGCCUAGCUGUCGCGGUGAACAGCAGGAGCCAUGGACCAGAUGGCUGGAGGGAGGUGCGAGCGGAUCGCACUGGCAGGCAAUUAGGCCUCAAACAAUGGCCCGUGAAAUGUCAGAAGUGGCAAGGAAGGGUCGUGGUGGAACAGCGGGAUGACAACCCUAGCCCCACAUCAUAUUCUUAUUAGCGGAGGUUAUUACAAUAGUAAUCAGCGUGCUCCAGGCGCAAAUUGGGUUUUUUGCUCCACUGCCACCAAUUUAGAAAACCAUUAAUGGCAAGAUAAGGCCCCCGUGGCUCACACCGGGCCAAGCCUGGGAACCUGCAGCCAACUCUCUGCUCAUGAACCUACACGCCCAUGCUCCAGGGGGCGCUCGAGCAAGCAUCCUGGCUCUUCUGGGACGACAGAGAAGAAAAAGCCAACCGCUUUCUAGGAGGUGCUGUACCUGCGGGACCAUAGAACUUUCUCAAAUGUGAAUCCUAUACAACAGUCACUUGGAUGAGACAACCUCAUGGAACAAAACAUUAAAGCCAAGUUUGCCACUAGAGCCAGAGCGCCAUAUACUGUGCCCUUGAGUCCUGCUUCAAGCCAGUCUGCUAGAAACGCUUAGCACUCGCAUGAAGAUCAGAGGACUUCUCUCCUUCCACCAUGAGGGGCCAAGAGAUUGAACUCACGUUGUCAGGGUUUGGAGGCAAGAACCGUCAUGUUUGGCAGCAAAGACCUCUACCUACUGAGCCGUCACCAUAGCCCUGCUGAGAUAGUUUCAUAACGAUAAAUGCACUCUACUUUUUGAUGAUGUUCUCAGUUCCAAAAUUGUCUCCCUGUGUGCGUGUGUGUGCGCAUGUGUGUGCGCAUGUGUGUGCGUAUGUGUGUGUGUGUGUGUGUAUGUGUACUUACUCAUAUGUCUUUUUAUGUACAAAAGAUAGGUUCCUUCAUGUAUAGUUGGAGAAGGGCUGGGUGAUCUGACUGGGAGGAAAAGAAAGAAAACCAGGAGUCACGUCUCUUCUGCCCCCUUGUGGGAUCCUGGAUCAAACUCAGGUUGUCAGGACUGCAUGGCAGGGUCUACUUGCUGAGCUGCCUCACCAGUCCCCUUUCCUUUUUCAACAUGUAGAGGCCAAGUAUGUCCCUGGUUCUACACAGCAGACAAAGAGUUAAGAAGCAACAGCUAUACUGCAGUUAAGUCCUGCCUUUUGUUUGUUUGGUUGGUUGGUUUGGUUUUGGUUUGAGACAGCCUUUCUCUCUGUAGCCCUGGCUAUCCUGAAACUCACUCUGUAGACCAGGCUGGCUUUGAACUCACAGAGAUCCAGCUGCCACUGCCUCCUGAGUGCUGGGAUUAAAGAUGUGCACCAUCAUCACCCAGCUUAGUCAUUUCUACCGGUCACUAUUAUUUAGUUAGUGUUACUUAGUUCCUUGAAUAUGUUGUCCACAAAAAUUCUCUCAAAUAAUUAACUACUUCAUCCUGUGGAAUAAAAGAUUUGA
RNAcentral lists this long non-coding RNA (2102 nucleotides) under Mus musculus (house mouse). RNAcentral describes it as "RIKEN cDNA 4930448E22 gene". The record is from RNAcentral. Lineage: Eukaryota; Metazoa; Chordata; Mammalia; Rodentia; Muridae.